Molecule: long non-coding RNA, 1135 nt
Organism: Oncorhynchus keta (chum salmon)
Lineage: Eukaryota; Metazoa; Chordata; Actinopteri; Salmoniformes; Salmonidae
Exons: 3
Source: RefSeq, a predicted model, not a curated record
UAUUUGUGGAUACAUGCUAUCAGAUAAUAGCUUCUCAUGCUUUCGCCGAAAAGCAUUUUACAAAUCUGACUCGGUAACUAGAUUCACAAUGAGGGUAGCUUUAAUUCAGUAUAUUGUAUGUGCAUUUUAAUGAAAGUUUGAGUUUUAUCAAAAACUAUACGUGGCACAAUUGAAAUUUCCGCUGAUAUAUGUUCCCACCACGGGACCACUGCCCUAACAAGUUUAAAAUACAUUUUCAGAUGUUCCGAGCUCGGCCUCCUGAUGUCGUUUGACCCCACAUAGGUUUACGACAGUGUCAGCUCCCGGCAUCUAUCGUAGAACAGUCGGAAACAGCCUACUUAUGUCCUGUACUCGUGCUCCUGGGUAGCACAGAGUUUCUGCCUUGGGGACCGAGAUGUUUCUCACCAUAGAGCUGCCUAUGAUGACAGCUGGCGAUGUUAAAUGGGCCGGUCUCUCAGGCAGCCUCACGGUCUGGUGAGGGUGGGAGCUCCGAGGAUCUGAACCCGAGGUAGAAGCCACCAGAGAGGGAGACAGAACAGAGGACGAAUACGCAGGAACAUCUGGAUCCGGGGCGUCAAAGACGUUUCUGGUCUGUGUCAGGUCCGGGCUCACCAUCUCCAAACAGAUCCUCGUUAUCAGAGGACUCUUUCUUCGACCUCCGCGGCGAGUGACGUAUCUCCACGGCUGGUUGGGUCGAGAACAGCUCCGUUCUCCAGGGAAUGAGUCGGGGUCUCCCCCCUUCAUUCUCCAGCUCCAUUCUCCAGUUGGCAGCCGCACAUGUAACAUAGAGAAGACUAGCAAGGGGACCCUCAACAUCACGCAGGCAUGCCCUCACUGUGAGCUGUAAAUGGAGCAGUGAGGACACUUGAAUCAGUAUGUUUGAUGAGGGGCCAGAAGCUGAUCUAGGCUGCCAUGCCCAUCAAUGUGGCGCUGGCAAAGACCUCACCUCUAGACCUCACCUCCAGCUUCACCCCUUGCCUGCUCACCAAUGGCCGUCAAUGGGGAGACCGGGAUUAGAUGCAUCUAUGGAACCAGCACUUGGAGACUUGCAACAUGAUGUGAUGUAGUUCUGACCGACAGAGAGGCUUGAUACUGACGUCUCUGAAUGGAGAGAGACCUGGCACUCAACACAUCC